GAGUUUGAUCAUGGCUCAGAACGAACGCUGGCGGCGUGCCUAACACAUGCAAGUCGAACGGAGUUGAGGGGCUUGCUCCUCAAUUUAGUGGCGCACGGGUGAGUAACGCGUAGAUAAUCUGCCUGAUGAUCUGGGAUAACACUUCGAAAGGGGUGCUAAUACCGGAUAAGCCCACGAUGGCCUAGGUCGUUGCGGGAAAAGGGGGGGACUUUCGGGCCUUCUGUCAUCAGAUGAGUCUGCGUACCAUUAGCUAGUUGGUGGGGUAAGAGCCUACCAAGGCGACGAUGGUUAGCUGGUCUGAGAGGAUGAUCAGCCACACUGGUACUGAGACACGGUCCAGACUCCUACGGGAGGCAGCAGUGGGGAAUUUUGCGCAAUGGGCGAAAGCCUGACGCAGCAACGCCGCGUGAGUGAUGAAGGCUUUCGGGUCGUAAAGCUCUGUCAAGGGGAAAGAAGUGUAUUGCGGUUAAUACCCGUGAUACUUGACGGUACCCCUAAAGGAAGCACCGGCUAACUCCGUGCCAGCAGCCGCGGUAAUACGGAGGGUGCGAGCGUUGUUCGGAAUUAUUGGGCGUAAAGCGCGUGUAGGCGGUUUGUUAAGUCUGAUGUGAAAGCCCUGGGCUCAACCUGGGAAGUGCAUUGGAUACUGGCAGACU
This 656-nucleotide ribosomal RNA is filed under the name uncultured Geobacter sp. Its description in RNAcentral is "bacterial SSU rRNA". It matches the Rfam family "Bacterial small subunit ribosomal RNA", at positions 9 to 642 of the family's 1533-position model. Lineage: Bacteria; Pseudomonadati; Thermodesulfobacteriota; Desulfuromonadia; Geobacterales; Geobacteraceae. The record is from RNAcentral.